UUUGAAUAGGACCCUUGGAAUGAGUUAAUGUUCAAGCACGUAUAGUAAUUGGCAUGCAAUGGCAACAGGUACAUAAUCUUUUGAAAGUGACAUGAAAUAUUUCAUUGCAGUUUUGGAUUCGUGAGAUCACUUAGUAGUAAAGUCCCAUUUUUGUUCACAUAGACAUGCCGAAAUGAAAAUGAAAAAACAACACAUUUAAAAAUGUCCACAUAAAACUGCUGUAAGGGGAAAAUUUUCCGUGCCGCAGAUUUCACUUCGGAUGAGCCUUUCUGUGCUCCAGCCAGCUCCACUCGACCCAGUCCAGUUUGUCGUUCGCGUCUUCCUGCAUUGCAAGUAUCUCCCUAUUACGCCUCAGUGACAGGAAGCUCAACGUCCAGAAGUACAUAUCAGUUUUCUUGUGCAG
This 403-nucleotide long non-coding RNA is filed under the name Olea europaea (common olive). RNAcentral describes it as "long non-coding RNA (OEUR_LNC002806)". Lineage: Eukaryota; Viridiplantae; Streptophyta; Magnoliopsida; Lamiales; Oleaceae. The record is from RNAcentral.